This is a long non-coding RNA of Fundulus heteroclitus (mummichog), 291 nucleotides long. RefSeq lists it as uncharacterized. Lineage: Eukaryota; Metazoa; Chordata; Actinopteri; Cyprinodontiformes; Fundulidae. The transcript is spliced from 2 exons. The record is from RefSeq and is a predicted model, not a curated record.
UCCAGACCAAUCACAAUGUUUUGCGCAAUUGUGCAAACGUUAAACCAAUGUAUAGUGACGUCAUCAGAAGGCGCAAGAUCCUAAGUCAAUCUGACCACCCGAGUCGAUCUGGUACCUGCACCGGAAAAAUGUCCAUGGUGCAGUAGGCAUCACUGCCCCCUAACAGGGGCUUGACUGCAUCGUUACAUCUCUGCACGUCACUCACCUUUCAAGGCUUAACAUUCAUGUUUCUACAACUUAAAUUCUGAAGUUCGCUGUAGCUCAGUCUGAAAAAUUAAACAAAUUAAAAAA